Molecule: ribosomal RNA, 287 nt
Filed under: uncultured bacterium
Lineage: Bacteria
Description: partial 16S ribosomal RNA
Rfam family: Bacterial small subunit ribosomal RNA
Source: RNAcentral
GUGGAUUAGAUACCCUGGUAGUCCAUGCCGUAAACGUUGGGCGCUAGGUGUGGGACUCAUUCCACGAGUUCCGUGCCGCAGCUAACGCAUUAAGCGCCCCGCCUGGGGAGUACGGCCGCAAGGCUAAAACUCAAAGGAAUUGACGGGGGCCCGCACAAGCGGCGGAGCAUGCGGAUUAAUUCGAUGCAACGCGAAGAACCUUACCAAGGCUUGACAUACACCGGAAGCAUGCAGAGAUGUGUGUGCCUUUUGGCUGGUGUACAGGUGGUGCACGGCUGUCGACAGCU